Molecule: ribosomal RNA, 452 nt
Filed under: uncultured bacterium
Lineage: Bacteria
Description: bacterial SSU rRNA
Rfam family: Bacterial small subunit ribosomal RNA
Source: RNAcentral
AACGAACGCUGGCGGCAGGCCUAACACAUGCAAGUCGAGCGCGCCCUUCGGGGUGAGCGGCGGACGGGUUAGUAACGCGUGGGAAUAUACCCGACACUAAGGAAUAGCCUCUGGAAACGGAGAGUAAUACCUUAUACGCCCUUCGGGGGAAAGAUUUAUCGGUGACGGAUUAGCCCGCGUUAGAUUAGAUAGUUGGUGGGGUAAUGGCCUACCAAGUCUACGAUCUAUAGCUGGUUUUAGAGGAUGAUCAGCAACACUGGGACUGAGACACGGCCCAGACUCCUACGGGAGGCAGCAGUGGGGAAUCUUGGACAAUGGGCGCAAGCCUGAUCCAGCCAUGCCGCGUGAGUGAUGAAGGCCUUAGGGUCGUAAAGCUCUUUCGCCAGAGAUGAUAAUGACAGUAUCUGGUAAAGAAACCCCGGCUAACUCCGUGCCAGCCGCCGCCGUAACAC